This is an RNA transcript of Hippocampus zosterae (dwarf seahorse), 5183 nucleotides long. It is a transcript of the gene named collagen alpha-1(XXV) chain, with no coding region annotated. The transcript has 37 exons. The record is from RefSeq and is a predicted model, not a curated record. Lineage: Eukaryota; Metazoa; Chordata; Actinopteri; Syngnathiformes; Syngnathidae.
AACCAAACGAAUCAAAUCAUAUGGUGGUUUAUUUUUUGGGUAUUGAAAAAAAAAUAGUUGUUUGCUGCUUUUAUCCACUGGAUGGCGACAUUUCGCCCGAAACGCGUCAUCCGACGACCGCUUGCUAAUUAACAUUAAUUAGUAUCUGGUGUGCCUUCGUGCGUUCCUCCUGAUGGAUUCGAUGUUGUGCCGACGCGUUCUACUUAAAACUCGGGAAAAUAAGAACAAUUCCACCUUCACACUACGCUUGUUUGUCAAUUUCAAGUUUAAUUGAAUUGAAAUGAACGUGCGCGCUACUUGAUUUCACGGUUGUCGUCAUCCUGUGAGUGACUGCAGGGUGCCACGAGAGUUUGGGGGCGUGUAACUGCCAUAACGAGGGUGGGGGCGUGUGUGUUUGUGCGUGUGCGUGGAAAAGCUGCAAGUGCCCACGCCGCCUUGACUUACACGCAAUUCCUCAGCGCCUCCUGUCGCGGAUCGCGGACGUCGGAGGUGCAACAAGUUUUUCGGCGGUGUACGUGAACGCCUCGCGACCGUCAACCCGCGCCGUGAUUCGGAUGGAGCGAGAAGCUUCCGCGGGGAACAUGGACGAGAAAGUGGCCCCUCGGCGUCGGGCCGCCAGCGUCAUACCGUCGCUGUGCUCCGUGGCGUCCAUCGCCUUCUGCGUGGUGCUCAGCAUCCACGCAGCAGACGUCAGGCGCCGGCUGGCUGGCUUGGAGCGCGGUGUGGACGCGUCGACGCGCGCACCGGCCGACGAUUUGGAUGCGUUGAUUGCGCAAAAAGUCAACGAGAUGGUCUCCCAGCGUUCUUAUGAGCAAUUUGUCAAGAUACGGAGCGCUCGGCAAGCAUCACCUGAAUGCAACUGUCCUCCAGGACCUCCGGGAAAGCGAGGAAGGAGAGGCCGCAAUGGAGAACCUGGUAUGUGUGGCCCUCCUGGUCCGAAAGGUCAAAAGGGGGAUCAAGGCGACCAGGGACCACGGAUGGUCUUCCCUAAGAUCAAUCACGGCUUUCUUUCCGCUGACCAGCAGCUCAUAAAGCGACGUCUCAUUAAGGGAGACCAGGGGCAAGCAGGACCACCUGGGCCUCCGGGGCCCCCGGGUCCUCCGGGCCCACGGGGGCCCCCAGGGGACACUGGCAAAGACGGGCCGAGGGGCGUACCGGGCGUACCAGGUGAUCAAGGGAAUCCAGGAGAAAUAGGACCUGCGGGACCUGAGGGGCCUCCAGGACUCAAGGGUUCACUGGGGCCUCCUGGUAUUCCAGGUGUUGAUGGACUGAAGGGGGAUCUUGGCAUCCCGGGACUGGACGGCAUCCCCGGAGCCAAGGGUGAAAUGGGAGAGCGAGGUGAAAAGGGCGAUAUGGGGGAAGAAGGACCGAGAGGGGAAACCGGUGAGAAGGGGGAUGCAGGCUCCUCAGCGGCAGGCAUCAAGGGCGAACCCGGAGAGCCCGGAAGAAGCGGACACAAGGGAGAGCCAGGACUUCCAGGGCUGCCUGGACUGCCAGGAAUUAAGGGAGAGCCAGGAUUCCUCGGUCCCCAGGGAGAGCCAGGCCUCCCAGGCCUUCCAGGAACUAAGGGGGAAAGGGGUGAGCAUGGACCGCCCGGAAAAGGCGAAAGAGGCGACCUGGGACCUGUCGGACCAAAGGGUUCGCAAGGAGAGGCAGGCACACCUGGUCCCAAAGGGUCAAAGGGCGAAAGUGGCGACAAAGGAGACUUUGGGCCUUCAGGGCCAAAGGGCCCGCCUGGGCAAAAAGGAGACCAGGGGGCCACUGAAAUUAUUGACUACAAUGGGAACAUUCAGGAAGCGUUGCAGAAGAUUACCACUCUUACAGUGACGGGCCCGCCGGGUCCUCCUGGGCCUGUAGGACCGCACGGUAUGAAGGGUGACCGUGGUAUGCCUGGCCUACCAGGACUUGACGGAGAACGCGGCUACAAGGGUUCCAAGGGAGACAUGGGAAUGCCUGGAGCAUCAGGCGACAAAGGAGCAACCGGUUUACCCGGCUUACCAGGCGUCAACGGGGUAAAGGGAGAGAAGGGAGAUUCAGGUCUGCCGGGUCCUCAAGGCUCCUCAAUUAUUGGUUCUCCGGGGGCACCAGGACCUCACGGGCCCCCUGGACCCAUGGGACCCCACGGUUUCCCUGGACCAAAGGGUGAACCCGGUUUGCACGGUACAAAGGGGGCACGCGGAGAACCAGGCCACAAGGGAGACCGAGGACCAUUAGGUCUCCCUGGAGCCUCCGGCUUGGACGGCAAGCCCGGGAUUAGGGGCACAGACGGGCCUUCAGGUCCAGCUGGUCCUGCCGGCCCAAAGGGGGACAGAGGCGAGCGAGGGGCUGCGGGGGACCCGGGACCGAGGGGACCCUACGGACUACCUGGAGCGGCAGGAACACCGGGCUUGGAUGGGUUGCCGGGUAUGAGAGGAGAGAAAGGCGACAGUGGGGAAAGAGGAGAGAAGGGGGAGAAGGGAAAGAAAGGCAAAAAAGGGCCUAAGGGCGAGAAAGGAGAACAGGGUGCCCCUGGAUUAGAUGCACCCUGCCCAUUGGUAUGUUGCAACUGUGAGCUGGAAGUCGCGUCCCAGCCGCGUAGGGUGCUCUCCCCGAACGAGGGUAACGGGGGGGCGCCUUGUGGCCACACCGACGCCCAACUAACCGCCCCGCGUCGAAAAAUAUCCCCAAAGCCAAGCUGAGGCCGAAUUGUGGCAUCGGCAAGGUCACGAGGCGACCCCGCCAUCGCAUGCUCGCUCAGGCCUCUCGGUCGUCCUUCUGUCCCUGUAACACUCCGAGGUCAUUUUUGCAAACAGGGUUUCCGGGGAUUUAAGGGUGAAAAGGGGGAACCAGGGCAGCCCGGUCUGGACGGGCUGGAUGCCCCAUGCCAAUUGGGUCCCGAUGGCUUACCGAUGCCUGGCUGCUGGCAGAAGUGAUCACUCUAACCUGAAACGCAUGGAGUUUGUAAAUAUUCUUUUUUUUUUUUUGUAUUUAUAGUUUUUUUUUUAAUGGGAUAAAAAAAUCUAAAAAAGAAGAAGCCUACGUGUAUGAGGAUGCAAAACCAACACCAACAACAAAAGAAACCCUGGGAUGCAUCACGCCCCAAAAGCUGCUUCUACUCAUAUCACAUCAUAGUGUGGAAAAAAAAAAAAACGUGUCUGCUCUCUCUCUCUCACAACCACAUUGUUCGUGUGAGCAUGUUGGUUGAUUCAUUUGAAGCUUGUGGCACAACUUUACAGCUUCCCACACUGGAGUGCCACAGGGCUCUUGCAUGGGUCCACUUGGACUCAGAGACAGGAAGAUUAUUGUUUUGUGUUGUCACCCCGCCCACCCACUCACGCAGCAUCAAAAAUACAAAACCUCGCCUAAGCAUGUUAUGUCUUGUGCGCACACUGUUUUGGCUUCUGCAGAGGAAAAACUAACAACAACAAGAGACAUUCUUUUUUUUUUUCUUUUUUCUUUUAAUUUCCACUUUUGCUGAAUCUUCCCAAGGGAGUCACGCCAUGGCUGGUCGCCUGAAAAGUCCCGAAAAUGAAAGAUGUUUGUUGCUUUAAUGCGCCCGCCCACCGUGCCUGCAAGAGGCGUUGAUGGCCCCCGCCCCGCCGGGUCCGGGGAGCCCGAACCUCCUUCGGCCGCACUGAUAACAAUCCAUAAAGGGUUUUAGUUUGGACGGGUGCCCCCUCUGAGCCGGGGACGGUCUCCGUGGAGACAGCUGAGGAUCUACUGAGUGUUGAUGGAAUGCAACCAUGGUUUUUUUGGUUUGAUUUUAUUUGAUUUCACUUUUGGUUAUCUUGCUAAAACGCAAGCGACCCGACAUGUUGCGUCGUCUGUUUUGUUGUCAGUCCAAAAGAGAGUAUUUGAGAAUGAAUUCAACCGACUCCAACUGACGAUAACAAAAAUGUGAUGCGACAGGAUGUCAGGCUGGAGGCGCUUUUGGCAAUAUGACGCGACAAUUAGGUUUUGUUUUCUUAUUGUUUAAUUGUUUUCUACGUGGUGUAAGAUAGCCUUUGGUGCCUGAAGCUUUUAUUCAUUCCUUGACCACAAACUUUAUAGCGUCUUUUCAUUUAUUGUGUUUAUUGGAGCAGAAUUGGUGUGGUAAAAUGUGUUGUAUUAUUUUCUUCUUAAUUGUUCGGCUUCAAUUGGGCGCUAACAAAAAAAAAACACACACAAAUGUUACUUGGAGGUGUCGGUUCACUGCAUGUGCUUUUGUAUUCGUGUUAUAUCGCAAGUCCUGAAUGGAACACCCUCGAGGCCAUUUUGGUUGUGUUCUCUUUAUUUGUGGUAUCUUAUUUCCAACUAUGCGGAAGGAUAUUCACCAGUUUCUUUCCUGUCUAUGUAUGACGUGAUUUCUUUGCAUAUACGAUGUAUUUGUAUUUGAUGAUUUAAUUUAUUUUUCUAUGUUUUCUUGGAUUGCUUGGGUUUUCGAAAGCGGCAUUCCUGCGUGACACUCGGGCGUUGCCGUGAUGACACAUCUGCUUUUAUCUCGGUGACCUGAAUGUUGUUGGGCCCAGCCAAUGGAUGCGUUUGUUUUGCUUUUCUAUUGUCCCUUGUUUGCAUUGAAUGUAGAUGCUCGCUCUCUCUUUCUCUCUCUCACACACAUGCGUGUGUAUGUGUUCUGUACAGUGGAUGUGUUAAUGUACUGAUGAGAUGUGUGCUCAUUUAACAAAAAGUGCAAUUUUAUGAUGUGUGUGUGUGUGUAUGAAUGCAUUUGCCUGAUUUGUGUGUCCUUCCCAUUUCAAUUAUAGGCUACCCCUUUGCGGGUGUGGACAAUUAAUAGAAAACUCGUCUUUACUGCCCCAUUCCUCCAGUGUGUUUCCACAAAAAAUGUUCCCGUUUGAUUUAGUUGUUUGUUCUCACAUGGUGCUGUGUCUUUAGCAUGUGCAGAUUUUUUAAUUUCUUUUUUUUAAUCAUGUGCACAAGUGCCAAAGUAAUCCAAUCCAAUAUUUUUGCCAUUUGAAAAUGUACAAAAGACUAUGAAAUGCCACGUGUGGUUUUGGAACAAAGGACAAACAGUUGUGUGAGUUGAAAUAUAUUUUUAUUCUUUUUGUUUGUUGUUUGAAGUUUAUGUUCUGCAUUUGUACUAUGUUUGUUAGUUGUUUUUUUUACCCAUUUGAUUGACAUUUCUUUACAAAAAAAAAACGGAUCCAUGUGGUAAAACUUAUGUGACUGUACUGUUGGAGCCAAAUAAACGCAGUCUUUCAAAUUCA